RNAcentral lists this ribosomal RNA (497 nucleotides) under uncultured bacterium. RNAcentral describes it as "partial 16S ribosomal RNA". It matches the Rfam family "Bacterial small subunit ribosomal RNA", at positions 28 to 507 of the family's 1533-position model. The record is from RNAcentral.
GAUGAACGCUGGCGGCGUGCCUAAUACAUGCAAGUCGAGCGAACAGACGAGGAGCUUGCUCCUCUGACGUUAGCGGCGGACGGGUGAGUAACACGUGGAUAACCUACCUAUAAGACUGGGAUCACUUCGGGAAACCGGAUCUAAUACCGGAUAAUCUAUUGAACCGCAUGGUUCAAUAGUGAAAGACGGUUUUGCUGUCACUUAUAGAUGGAUCCGCGCCGCAUUAGCUAGUUGGUAAGGUAACGGCUUACCAAGGCAACGAUGCGUAGGCGACCUGAGAGGGUGGUCGGCCACACUAGAGCUGAGACGCGGUCCAGACUCCUGAGGGAGGCAGCAGUAGGGAAUCUUACGCAAUAGGCGAAAGCCUGACGGAGCAACGGCGCGUGAGUGAUUAAGGUCUUCGGAUCGUAAAACUCUGUUAUUAGGGAAGAACAAAUGUGUCAGUAACUAUGCACGUCUUGACGGUACCUAAUCAGAAAGCCACGGCUAACUACGUG